Molecule: non-coding RNA, 2070 nt
Organism: Camellia sinensis
Lineage: Eukaryota; Viridiplantae; Streptophyta; Magnoliopsida; Ericales; Theaceae
Source: RefSeq, a predicted model, not a curated record
AUAACAUUGUCUGCCUAUUUGGAUCCCUGCUCAUGAGUACCAAACACACCUCCUCCUCUCUCUCACAGACGUCCUCCUCUCUUUCUCUCUUCCUCGUUUCAAAUUUUAUUAAUCUCCUUUUCUCUGGUUUUGUUUCAGUCUCUCUCUCUCUUCUACCCACUCUCCUUUCUUGGUUUUACCUAUGGCGACUUUGUUGAGAUCCGAGUGCACUGUUUGAUCAAAUGCAAGGCCCCCAAAGUCCAUCAAGGACCAAAGUUGAGAGCUACAAGUUUUCUCUAGUCCAACUACUCUCUUCCACGGUUGUCCGUAGCAUUUCAAUGGGUGUUAACCCAUUAAAGGUAUCCUAAUUCUUUAAUAGGAUGCUUGGCUUCCAUUGGAAUAAAAUUGUUCAAUCUAUUUUUAGUUUAUGAUUUUUUUUUUUAAAAUUUAAUAUUAUCAUUUCUAAGUUGCUGAAAAUGAUAAAUGAUAAAAACAUAUAUACUCAUUUCUUAUUUAAGCACAUUUGUUUUGUAAUAUGGUUGCUUGGUCUAAUUAUUAGUUCCCUAUUAUUUGUCAUGUCAUUUUAGCUACCAUUUAGCAAGUUUGUUUAUGUAGUGUUGAUUGAAUUUUUUUUUCUCUUCAAUUUCUUUAUGGAUAACUAAAAGAGGAGUGCAAAGAAGUUGGGCAUAAUUGUUUGUGUUUCUUUAUGGUUUUGAUUUCAUUUAUAUGAAUAUGAAAUGUGUUGAAAUCUCUGUUAUUAGAAUCAUACGAUUUGCAAUUCAAUUCAGUGGGUAAUCAAUACGAAUAGGUUGUAUGAAUCGCAAAUAGCCAAGAAUCGUAGGUGAAUCAGUGAACGAAAUCGGUGAAUCGUGAAGUGAAUCGAUUUGAUUUGAUUCGAUUCGCUAAAAUCAAUGUUUGACUUUCUUUUUUAGUUUUUUACUAUUGGAAAAGGGUUCACCCAACCUUUUUAAGGUCUUUAGGAUUACUAUAUGCCAUCUUUUGACUUUCUCCCUCCCUCUUUUGUUAUUUGUUCACAUCUCUUUAUUCCCCUUAACAUUUUAUCCAUAAGUCAGUGGAGUUUUGUUAGUUUUAUUUAUAGAUUUAUUUUUGCUACUACUGCUAUUAUUGAAAUAUAUAUAAAAUUAAGAUGAAUCUUCCUUUCGAAUUCUGCAAACCCUUCAACUCCUUCAUCUGUGUUGGACAUACCCGCCUUAUUGUUCUAGUUUUCUUUUCUUUUCUUUUUUUCUUUUUUCUUUUUUCUUUUUUUUUUGUUGUUGUUGUUGUUGUUGUUAUCUAGGGAAUUAGUUUUAAGUAUGAAAGAUCUUUUCUCCUAAAUUCAAUGCACAAUUUUUUGUUGAGUUGGAGUGUUGUAGAGAAAUUAUAAAUUCAUGUAAGGCUGAUGUUUUUAUUCUUAAUGCUUUGUACAUGUGACGGAGCCAUCGGAAUUUGGUGAGAAGAAUAGUUCUAAAGGCUCCAUCAAUAGAGGAAUGGAUGGCGAGGGGAGAUUAAUCGAAUGAUCAAACUUUUGGUUGAGGAAAAAGUUCCCCUUUGCUAAACUUUUGACUGGGGUGAGGAAAAAGUUCCCCUUUGCUUGACUGGGUUGAGGUUAUGAAUUUAUCUAUUUUUUGGAUAAUGUUCUAUUUGCUAAUUAUUUUUAUUAUUAUUUAUUGUUUUUGGGAAAGACCAAAAGAGUAGCAGUUUUUUGUGUUUUGCUUGCAUUACUUCUAAAUAGUUUGAAUGCUCUCAAUUGAAUCUCAAUUGUGAGUUUAUGAAAUCUUUCUUUUGAGAUUGUGGUUUGAAGAUUUUUGAAACGGAUGCUCCUUGCAUUGUGGUGCCAAAGAUAUCCAUGAAGGUUAUCAAAGAAAGAGCAUUUUUCUUGGCCAGUAAAUCUCUCUUUUUCCCUCUAUAUAUGAAUGUGUCUCUGAAACAUUUUUUUGAUAUAUAGUAGUUUCUUGUGUGAACCCCACAUGUGUCUGGGUGCAUAAAAUAUUUGCUACAUAGAUUAAAAAACACAGAGGGUGUGUGGGUGUGGGAUGAGGGAGAGUAGGGAUAGAGGGAGGCAAAAAGUGCAAAUAAAUGAAUAAAAUGGUG